RNAcentral lists this ribosomal RNA (254 nucleotides) under uncultured bacterium. Its description in RNAcentral is "partial 16S ribosomal RNA". It matches the Rfam family "Bacterial small subunit ribosomal RNA", at positions 524 to 776 of the family's 1533-position model. The record is from RNAcentral.
UACGUAGGGUGCGAGCGUUGUCCGGAAUUAUUGGGCGUAAAGAGCUCGUAGGCGGUCUGUCGCGUCGAUCGUGAAAACUUGGGGCUUAACCCUGAGCUUGCGGUCGAUACGGGCAUCACUGGAGUUCGGCAGGGGAGACUGGAAUUCCUGGUGUAGCGGUGAAAUGCGCAGAUAUCAGGAGGAACACCGGUGGCGAAGGCGGGUCUCUGGGCCGAUACUGACGCUGAGGCACGAAAGCUAGGGGAGCGAACGGG